Molecule: ribosomal RNA, 547 nt
Filed under: uncultured bacterium
Lineage: Bacteria
Description: partial 16S ribosomal RNA
Rfam family: Bacterial small subunit ribosomal RNA
Source: RNAcentral
UGGGGAAUAUUGGACAAUGGGCGCAAGCCUGAUCCAGCAAUGCCGCGUGAGUGAUGAAGGCCUUAGGGUUGUAAAGCUCUUUCGCACGCGACGAUGAUGACGGUAGCGUGAGAAGAAGCCCCGGCUAACUUCGUGCCAGCAGCCGCGGUAAUACGAAGGGGGCUAGCGUUGUUCGGAAUUACUGGGCGUAAAGGGCGCGUAGGCGGCCUGUUUAGUCAGAAGUGAAAGCCCCGGGCUCAACCUGGGAAUAGCUUUUGAUACUGGCAGGCUUGAGUUCCGGAGAGGAUGGUGGAAUUCCCAGUGUAGAGGUGAAAUUCGUAGAUAUUGGGAAGAACACCGGUGGCGAAGGCGGCCAUCUGGACGGACACUGACGCUGAGGCGCGAAAGCGUGGGGAGCAAACAGGAUUAGAUACCCUGGUAGUCCACGCCGUAAACGAUGAACGCUAGACGUCGGGGUGCAUGCACUUCGGUGUCGCCGCUAACGCAUUAAGCAUUCCGCCUGGGGAGUACGGCCGCAAGGUUAAAACUCAAAGGAAUUGACGGGGUC